Long non-coding RNA from Physcomitrium patens, 1582 nucleotides. RefSeq lists it as uncharacterized. The record is from RefSeq and is a predicted model, not a curated record. Lineage: Eukaryota; Viridiplantae; Streptophyta; Bryopsida; Funariales; Funariaceae.
UUUUCCCGUUUUCACGAGCUUUGGCGCUACGGAAUGCUGCUUCUUGACCUCUUAUUUUUGGUUUUUUGGGCGUUGCGAACGCUCCGACUGGGAGGGAAAAUUCUUGCGCUACAUGAAAUUUAAAGAUUGAAUUGUUAUGUCAAGAGGUUUGAUGAGUCAGAUUGUUGCAACAGCACUUGGAGCUGCCGACGGCAUUGACUGGCUUUUUUGAUUUUUUCUUUUGUUAUAUGAUGCAAGGCGGUUGUGAUUUCCUAGAGCUAAGAUGAGCGGAAGCGGCUGAAGCUAUGAACCUCGAUUCUUUUCCUGUGGUGGGCUAGUUUUUGUGUGGAGAACCAAGAUUGCAGAGCAGAUACACCCAUGUAUUCGUCAGCUGUCUGGAGGUGCUGUGGCCAAAGAUUCUAGUACUGAGUAGAGCGGCGGAUCUAGGCAGCUCAAAAUUUUUGUCCUUAUUCGCGUAAGAGGUGCAACAUCACGUAAUCGAGAGUCUGUUGAGCUGAGUCGAUCUCAAGUGGCCAAUUGCAACCAACCUUACUUUAAUUGAGUUUGUUCCUCCGCCGCAUCAUGUUCAGUAGCAUGCAGCAAUCUGUCUACUUCUACAAGCACAAGAUUGGAGGAAUUAGAGUGUGCAUCAUUCAUUGAAGGUUACUAUGGCAUAGGUUUUUUUUUUUCAGUCAUCGCAUCUUGUUGAGUCCCUCGUGAUCUGCCGCGCCUUCAUUGGAUCUCUCUUCUACGAAUACCGUGCAAUGGAUUUUCACAGACCCUCACUUAUAUGUCUAUUGCCACCUCUCAACAGCGGUUCCAAUUUAGGUUUCUGGUUCUGCCAAUUAGACCUUGUUCUUUUUUUUUUCCCCUUUUACUAAUCCUUGUAAAUAAAGACUAGCUGCCAUUGUUGACCUUCCGCGUACAUAAGGAAGACUAUGUUAAGGAGCAAGCUAUUGUGAGAUGAGAGCAUCUAAAAUAAUAGUGAAGUCGAGGUUCCUAUUAUUUGUUUUGUUUCAUUAUUGUUCGAAUUUUGCAACUAUGGCGACUCAUCUCGCACUGAGCGAUCAGUUAGAGAAGGCAAAUUAUGGGUAUUGAUUCUUUUCGGCUCAAUUCUGCCAUGCCCUAUUUAAAAUCAACAUGAAGAAGAAGAAAGAGAGGCAGUUAUGAAGAAGAGGCACUAGGGACAAAGGUUGGCGAGCAGCAGGGAGCUAUGACCGCGGUGAAUUGAUUCAGCUGGAAUCGGAAUCAAGACCAUUUGCAAUUUGAGGAGUGUGUCCCAUGCAAUUAGGAGGAAGAGCAAGCGUGCUUGCAUUCCAGUACAUUAUGUUUGACACCUGCCAUUGGAUGGCAAUUGCAAUUAGAGACUUUGGAAGACUUACGUGAUCACCUGGACCUCCAAAAAACAAAACUAUUGGGGGUUAAUUUUAGUUCACAUACUUGGACUGAUAUUUCCUAUCUAGUGGGAGUUGUUAGCCAAUAUAUAGUAAAUCUUGGCCCACAACAUUGAAUAGCAAUGAAAUGUAUUUUGCAAUAUCUUCAAAGCACAUCAAAUCAUGUACUAUAAUAUGGUGGAAGUUCUUUGAGUUUACAGGUGGCACAU